Molecule: ribosomal RNA, 468 nt
Filed under: uncultured bacterium
Lineage: Bacteria
Description: partial 16S ribosomal RNA
Rfam family: Bacterial small subunit ribosomal RNA
Source: RNAcentral
GACGAACGCUGGCGGCGUGCUUAACACAUGCAAGUCGAACGGAAAGGCCCUGCUUUUGUGGGGUGCUCGAGUGGCGAACGGGUGAGUAACACGUGAGUAACCUGCCCUUGACUUUGGGAUAACUUCAGGAAACUGGGGCUAAUACCGGAUAGGAGCUCCUGCUGCAUGGUGGGGGUUGGAAAGUUUCGGCGGUUGGGGAUGGACUCGCGGCUUAUCAGCUUGUUGGUGGGGUAGUUGCUUACCAAGGCUUUGACGGGUAGCAGGCCUGAGAGGGUGACCGGCGACAAUGGGACUGAGAUACGGCCCAGAGUCCUACGGGAGGCAGCAGUGGGGAAUAUUGCACAAUGGGCGGAAGCCAGAUGCAGCAACGCCGCGUGCGGGAUGACGGCCUUCGGGUUGUAAACCGCUUUCGCCUGUGACGAAGCGUGAGUGACGGUAAUGGGUAAAGAAGCACCGGCUAACUACGUG